CAGCAAUCAUAUUUAAAAAUAUGUUUUUAGACUAACUAAAUCUGUUUUCUUCAGUUCAUCAAUUUUUCUUUUUCACCUUGUCAACGGAGGAUAGAAUUGAAAUUGGGAACUUUUUACUCAAGAAUGGGAAAGCAUAGGAGCAAUUCGUAAUAAAAUGUUUCUUUUUUUUAUAGUAAUUUACAAGUCAGACUAACAAACAUAGAGCUGUUAAAAAUAAAUAUUUGGUAUAUACAUCUCCAGUCGUGUUUAAAAACUUGGCGUCGGAAUCGACGCAGAAUAACGACAACUGUAAAGAAAUGGAACGGAAUCAAAUUGUAACAAAAACAAAAACAGAAAUAAACAACGAACAAUAGUGGAUAACGUGUGGAUUUUUGGAAACUAUAUCUUAUCCAUUUAGAUGAGAAAUAGUUUGGAAGAUGGGUAUCGAAAAUCCCGAGUAAUUUUCGGAAUUUACUAGCCACGUGUAUUCAUAACAUACUUGGAUUUUCAUCAAUACACAGUAGAAAAUAAGAGAAAACGCUGACGGAAGAAACUGUAUCGAUUUCGUAUUGCCUGAUUCAUUUGGAACCUAGGAAUGCGGUCUGUUGUUUAAUAAUGGUUGCAUGCCUGAUUUAGCUAAAGAAGCUCCAGUCGGGACACGAAGGUAGUAAUACUGCAAUGGUUCAUCUCCCUUAAAAUAGUAGGCGUUUGUUAAGCACAUUAUUCCUCCUUGCAAAUAAACUUCAAUAAUGGAGUGAUCUACUACAGCUUCAAUUUCCAAUAUAUAAUUAUCUUCGUAAGAAGAGGGAGGAACAGAAGACGUACACCGUUCAGGAUAUAAAGGAUAUUUCCAACUAGACGAGCAUACACCCCUUUCGACGUAGACGGCACCGUCGUGGAAUCGGUAUCCAAGUUCAAAAUACUCCUUAGAGGUCUCAACAUCUGGCGUGGUAGACCAUGUCAAGCAUAAAAACUCCAUAGGGGAUUCUAAUACAAUACUUUUCGGAAUGGAAACGGCGAGGUAGAAUACAGUGGCACUAGUCCAGACAGUAGGAAAUUCACAGACACGGUUUAACAAAAGUGGAGCUGGUAGAGAAUCUGGAUAGUAAAGAUGGUGAAGAUUAACUGGACGUUGACGUAGCACAAGACCACGCGUUUCUUGAUUGAGAUGGGUGUAGCAAAGAGUAAGUUCUCGAGGAAUAGUAAACAUACCUCGAUGUUUCAUACGCAUAGGAACAUCGUUCGUAUAGUUCCAGUUACUUGCCCAAGAGAUGGAAAUGACUCUUCCAUCGGGUGCAUUACCAAACGUUUGAGUGGCAUAGCAAUCGUGACCGCAAUCCAAAAUUCUGGACGCGCUAUCAAUUGGAGUGAAGGUUUGACCAUCAAAAUCUCCAAUAAAAUAUUGAACCAUGCUACCCCCAUUGAUCGAAGAACCAGGAUUAAUGGAAACAAUCAGUACCCAUCGAAACUCGUCGGUACCCUCGAUAGGGAGACGAACAAAGUCAGGGCAUUCGUAUUGGUAUCCUAAAACGCCUGCAGAACCAAAUUCCGAAAGUUUUACCCAAUCGCGAAGGUUUAGGGAAUGGUAAAACAGAACUUUGUAUUUUUGAGCUAACACUACAACCAUGAUCCAUGCUCUACUUUCUUCAUGCCAAAACACUUUUGGGUCGCGGAACUGCGAUUCCUUGAUGUCGAGGAUGGGAUUCUUUUUGUAUUUGAUAAAUGUGAUACCUCCAUCCAAUGAGUAGGCAAUGUUUUGAGUUUCACGAUUAUCAUAAUGCGUUGUAUAAAUCAACACAAUUCUUUCUUCAGGGUCAACCGACUUUCUCGAAAAAAAUCCACUUUCAAAAAAGCCUGAUGAGUUGGUUUUAUCGAUCACUGCGCUUCCGCUAAACAUUAAUCCAUGAUCGUCUCCAGGUGCAAGGGCGGUAGGUAGUAAUUUCCAUUUAUACAGGUUUUUACUCACUGCAUGGCCCCAAUGUUGAUUACCGGCUUGGUUUCCUGUUGGAUUCCAUUGAAAAAACAAAUGCCAUUUUCCAUUACUGUAAACCAGACCAUUGGGAUCAUUCAUAAAUCCUUCUGGAGGCGUGAAAUGUAUGCAUGGUCUCACAGGCAUCGAUUCAAAUGUUUACUGUGCGUUUUAUAUGCAAACUUAAAGCUUUUAUAUUUAAUAAUGUUUGAGUAUCACUAGAACAUACAAAUUUUUAAGCUUUGUGUAAAAAGUGGUACAUCGGUCGUAUGCAAGGAAUAUUAAGCAAUUCGGUGCAAAUCAGUCAAAAAGCUCAAAUUCAAUCCGAUAGGCUUAAACAUUCUCAAUCUACCAACUCUUCAGUUUGAAACUCACAUCUAUCUAGACUAUUGCUUGAUUAACUCAACACCCACUUAGCCAAGCAAAUCAUUACGGGUUGUGUACUCGAAAUUAAAAUGUCGUCCAACUACUGUAUUUUUUACAGCAGCUACCAAAUACACACAUAUACUACGACUGUAAAAAAAAAAGAAAUUUAAAGAAAGACAAAAAGAAAAAAAAAUUAGAAGAAAAUAUACGAGAAUGUAAUGAGACUAUUCCAUCGUGUAGUACACAAGAUCUAAACGAAAAAGAACUCUUAG
Schizosaccharomyces pombe (fission yeast) is the source of this 2586-nucleotide non-coding RNA. The record is from the annotation of a GenBank genome assembly. NCBI's taxonomy places the organism in Eukaryota, Fungi, Ascomycota, Schizosaccharomycetes, Schizosaccharomycetales, Schizosaccharomycetaceae.